Non-coding RNA from Procambarus clarkii (red swamp crayfish), 236 nucleotides. The record is from RefSeq and is a predicted model, not a curated record. NCBI's taxonomy places the organism in Eukaryota, Metazoa, Arthropoda, Malacostraca, Decapoda, Cambaridae.
AGGAUCCCGCUGACCUGGUGGCACUGCACGCCCUACCCACGGCAGUGAGGCCCGGGUCGGGCGGAGAGGUGAGGUCAGCUGAGUGACGUCAUGGUGCCCAGAGGUCACGGCUCCGCCUCCUGCUAGCAUGUGUGUUGAUGCCCACACUCUGCCCUCCCUCAAGGUGUGGGGUGAGGCGCACCUGUACUAUGGGUGAGGGCUGGAGGUCAGGAUGGCCAGGCGAGAGGGUCAUGGGU